Molecule: ribosomal RNA, 330 nt
Filed under: uncultured Iamia sp.
Lineage: Bacteria; Bacillati; Actinomycetota; Acidimicrobiia; Acidimicrobiales; Iamiaceae
Description: bacterial SSU rRNA
Rfam family: Bacterial small subunit ribosomal RNA
Source: RNAcentral
GUGCCAGCAGCGGCGGUGACACGUAGGGGCAAGCGUUGUCCGGAUUUAUUGGGCGUAAAGGGCUCGUAGGCGGUUCGACAAGUCGGGUGUGAAACCUCCAGGCUCAACCUGGAGUCGCCGCUCGAAACUGUUGUGACUAGAGUCCGGUAGAGGAGCAUGGAAUUUGUGGUGUAGCGGUGGAAUGCGCAGAUAUCACAAGGAACACCAGUAGCGAAGGCGAUGCUCUGGGCCGUACUGACGCUGAGGAGCGAAAGCAUGGGGAGCGAAACAGGAUUAGAUACCCUGGUAGUCCAUGCCGUAAACGUUGGCACGUAGGUGUGGGACUCUCUC